Molecule: ribosomal RNA, 253 nt
Filed under: uncultured bacterium
Lineage: Bacteria
Description: partial 16S ribosomal RNA
Rfam family: Bacterial small subunit ribosomal RNA
Source: RNAcentral
UACGGGGGGGGCAAGCGUUGUUCGGAAUUACUGGGCGUAAAGGGCCAGUAGGCGGCCAACUAAGUCCGACGUGAAAUCCCAAGGCUUAACCUUGGAACUGCGUCGGAUACUGGAUGGCUUGAAUUCGGGAGAGGGAUGCAGAAUUCCAGGUGUAGCGGUGAAAUGCGUAGAUAUCUGGAGGAACACCGGUGGCGAAGGCGGCAUCCUGGACCGAGAUUGACGCUGAUGCGCGGAAGCCAGGGGAGCAAACGGG